Molecule: unclassified non-coding RNA, 500 nt
Filed under: Zea mays
Lineage: Eukaryota; Viridiplantae; Streptophyta; Magnoliopsida; Poales; Poaceae
Description: misc RNA Zm00001eb184400
Source: RNAcentral
CCGAGCUAGGACGCGGCACGCGCGGCAACAGAGAGCUCCAGGCGGUGCCGAGCAGGGGGGAAAUCGCCAUGGACGAGCAGGCAACAGAGAGAAGCAGGGGCGCGCGUGGGAAAUCGGCUGGGCGUUGCAGGGAGGAGAUCCGAGCAGGGACGCCAGAAAGAAGAGGCUUGGGGGCGCCGGCGAGCUGGAGGAGCUCGGGAGGAGGAGCGCUCGGCCACAGGGGAGCUUCGCGCCGGAGAUGCAGACCGAGCUUGAGGGAGCGACGCCUGGGGAAGAGAAGAGAGAGCGACGCGGCAGGAUUUUCUUCUCGAGCUGAUCGGUGGCUUGGACAUGCGCAAACAGAUAUAGAUGCUGAAAAAAAAUCUGCGCAGGUCCGGCGGGAUCUUCUUCCCAGAGUUGAGCGGCGCAUGGAUAAUCUCCAUGGAGAAGAGAAGAUCAGGGAGAAAAGAGAGAGAGAGCGGCGGGAAAGAAGAUAGGAACGAUGACGCGUAACGGAUGAG